AAUUCGUACCUAUGGGAAGAACACCGGUGGCGAAGGGGGCUCUCUGCCCGAGAGGGCGCUGAGGCGGGGAGAGGAAGGGGAGCAAACAGGAUUAGAUACCAAACAGUCCACGCUGUAGACGAUGUGUGCGAGACGUUGGCGAGCAUAGGUUUUGGGGUGGCAGAUGACGCAUAAGCACUCCGCGUGGGGAGUGCGGCCGCAAAGAUACAACUCAAAAGAAUAGACGGAGGACCGCACAAGCGGUGGAGCAAGUGAUUUAAUUGGACGCAACUCGAAUAACCUUACCAGCCCUUGACAUGUCCCGAGUGGGCCGGAGGGAUCCGGUCCUUCAGUUCGGCUGGCGGGAACACAGGUGCUGCAUGGCUGUCGUCAGCUCGUGUCGUGAGAUGUUGGGUUAAAUCCCGCAACGAGCGCAACCCCCAUCUUCAGUUGCCAUCGGUUUGGCCGGGCACUCUGGAGAAACUGCCGGUGACAAGCCGGAGGAAGGCGGGGAUGACGUCAAGUCCUCAUGGCCCUUAUGGGCUGGGCUACACACGUGCUACAAUGGCGGUGACAGAGGGGAGCGAGGCAGCGAUGCCGAGCCAAUCUCAAAAAGUCGUCUCAGUUCGGAUUGCUCUCUGCAACUCGAGAGCAUGAAGUCGGAAUCGCUAGUAAUCGCGGAUCGGCAUGCCGCGGUGAAUACGUUCCCGGG
RNAcentral lists this ribosomal RNA (691 nucleotides) under uncultured bacterium. RNAcentral's name for it is "bacterial SSU rRNA". It matches the Rfam family "Bacterial small subunit ribosomal RNA", at positions 685 to 1378 of the family's 1533-position model. The record is from RNAcentral.